RNAcentral lists this ribosomal RNA (544 nucleotides) under Fusarium oxysporum. Its description in RNAcentral is "partial small subunit ribosomal RNA". The stretch from base 200 to 353 matches the Rfam family "5.8S ribosomal RNA". Lineage: Eukaryota; Fungi; Ascomycota; Sordariomycetes; Hypocreales; Nectriaceae. The record is from RNAcentral.
ANNAAAAGUCGUAACAAGGUCUCCGUUGGUGAACCAGCGGAGGGAUCAUUACCGAGUUUACAACUCCCAAACCCCUGUGAACAUACCACUUGUUGCCUCGGCGGAUCAGCCCGCUCCCGGUAAAACGGGACGGCCCGCCAGAGGACCCCUAAACUCUGUUUCUAUAUGUAACUUCUGAGUAAAACCAUAAAUAAAUCAAAACUUUCAACAACGGAUCUCUUGGUUCUGGCAUCGAUGAAGAACGCAGCAAAAUGCGAUAAGUAAUGUGAAUUGCAGAAUUCAGUGAAUCAUCGAAUCUUUGAACGCACAUUGCGCCCGCCAGUAUUCUGGCGGGCAUGCCUGUUCGAGCGUCAUUUCAACCCUCAAGCACAGCUUGGUGUUGGGACUCGCGUUAAUUCGCGUUCCUCAAAUUGAUUGGCGGUCACGUCGAGCUUCCAUAGCGUAGUAGUAAAACCCUCGUUACUGGUAAUCGUCGCGGCCACGCCGUUAAACCCCAACUUCUGAAUGUUGACCUCGGAUCAGGUAGGAAUACCCGCUGAACUUA